This 73-nucleotide transfer RNA is filed under the name Stegodyphus mimosarum. It matches the Rfam family "tRNA". Rfam says of the family: Transfer RNA (tRNA) molecules are approximately 80 nucleotides in length. Their secondary structure includes four short double-helical elements and three loops (D, anti-codon, and T loops). The record is from Rfam by way of RNAcentral. Lineage: Eukaryota; Metazoa; Arthropoda; Arachnida; Araneae; Eresidae.
ACCUUCGUGGUGUAGUGGUCAGCACGCUCGGCGCGUAUUUGAGAAUUUCGAGGUUCGAAUCCCGGUGAGGGCA